GCCGAGGUCGACCAGGCGAAGUCGUGGCUUGCCAAGACUGCCAAGGACUACGGGAUCGGCGCGGGAUGGCUCGUCGUCGCCCUCGCCGUUCUGUUCUGGACGAUUCCCGUCUUCGGCA
RNAcentral lists this transfer RNA (118 nucleotides) under Microbacterium sp. RNAcentral's name for it is "tRNA-OTHER". Lineage: Bacteria; Bacillati; Actinomycetota; Actinomycetes; Micrococcales; Microbacteriaceae. The record is from RNAcentral.